This 63-nucleotide transfer RNA is filed under the name Radix auricularia. RNAcentral's name for it is "tRNA-Asn". The record is from RNAcentral. Lineage: Eukaryota; Metazoa; Mollusca; Gastropoda; Lymnaeidae.
UUUUAACGAAGCAGCUUUGCAUUUAACUGUUAAUUAUUUUGUAGCCCCCUAGGGCCGUUUGAA